UACGUAGGGGGCAAGCGUUGUCCGGAUUUAUUGGGCGUAAAGAGCGUGUAGGCGGCUUUACAGGUCCGUUGUGAAAACUCGAGGCUCAACCUCGAGACGCCGGUGGAAACCGUAAAGCUAGAGUCCGGAAGAGGAGAGUGGAAUUCCUGGUGUAGCGGUGAAAUGCGCAGAUAUCAGGAAGAACACCCGUGGCGAAGGCGGCUCUCUGGGACGGUACUGACGCUGAGACGCGAAAGCGUGGGGAUCAAACAGG
Molecule: ribosomal RNA, 253 nt
Filed under: uncultured bacterium
Lineage: Bacteria
Description: partial 16S ribosomal RNA
Rfam family: Bacterial small subunit ribosomal RNA
Source: RNAcentral